GGACUACACGGGUUUCUAAUCCCGUUCGCUCCCCUAGCUUUCGUGCCUCAGCGUCAGAAGAGACCCAGUAAGCCGCUUUCGCUCCUGGUGUUCCUUACGAUAUCAACGCAUUUCACCGCUCCACCGUAAGUUCCGCUUACCUCUGCCUCCCUCAAGCCCAGUAGUUUAGGGCGCAAUUCCUCGGUUAAGCCGAGGGCUUUCACACCCUACUUUCUGAGCCGCCUACGCACCCUUUAAGCCCAGUAAAUCCGAAUAACGUUUGGACGGUACGUAUUACCGCGGCUGCUGGCAC
RNAcentral lists this ribosomal RNA (292 nucleotides) under uncultured Planctomycetota bacterium. RNAcentral describes it as "uncultured planctomycete partial 16S ribosomal RNA". Lineage: Bacteria; Pseudomonadati; Planctomycetota. The record is from RNAcentral.